UACAGAGGGUGCGAGCGUUAAUCGGAAUUACUGGGCGUAAAGCGCACGUAGGCGGCUUGGUAUGUCGGGUGUGAAAUCCCCGGGCUCAACCUGGGAACUGCAUCCGAAACUGCCUUGCUAGAGUAUGGGAGAGGGAAGUGGAAUUUCCGGUGUAGCGGUGAAAUGCGUAGAUAUCGGAAGGAACAUCAGUGGCGAAGGCGGCUUACUGGUCCGGUUCUGACGCUGAGGCGCGAAAGCGUGGGGAGCAAACAGG
Molecule: ribosomal RNA, 253 nt
Filed under: uncultured bacterium
Lineage: Bacteria
Description: partial 16S ribosomal RNA
Rfam family: Bacterial small subunit ribosomal RNA
Source: RNAcentral